RNAcentral lists this ribosomal RNA (460 nucleotides) under uncultured bacterium. RNAcentral's name for it is "partial 16S ribosomal RNA". It matches the Rfam family "Bacterial small subunit ribosomal RNA", at positions 338 to 795 of the family's 1533-position model. The record is from RNAcentral.
CCUACGGGCGGCUGCAGUGAGGAAUAUUGGUCAAUGGACGAGAGUCUGAACCAGCCAAGUAGCGUGAAGGAUGACUGCCCUAUGGGUUGUAAACUUCUUUUAUAUGGGAAUAAAAUGUUCCACGUGUGGGAUUUUGUAUGUACCAUAUGAAUAAGGAACGGCUAACUCCGUGCCAGCAGCCGCGGUAAUACGGAGGAUCCGAGAGUUAUCCGGAUUUAUUGGGGUUAAAGGGAGCGUAGGGUGUAUGUUAAGUCAGUUGUGAAAGUUUGCGGCUCAACCGUGAAAUUGCAGUUGAAACUGGCAGUCUUGAGUACAGUAGAGGUGGGCGGAAUUCGUGGUGUAGCGGUGAAAUGCUUAGAUAUCACGAAGAACUCCGAUUGCGAAGGCAGUUCACUGGACUGCAACUGACACUGAGGCUCGAAAGUGUGGGUAUCAAACAGGAUUAGAUACCCCUGUAGUC